GGCUGGUCAGAAGGUAGUGAGUUAUCUCGAUUGUUCAUAGUCAGUUACAGAUUGAACUCCUCAUUCUCUUCUUUCCCCUCUUCUCACUACUGCACUUGACCAGUCUUAA
This is an unclassified non-coding RNA of Otolemur garnettii (small-eared galago), 109 nucleotides long. It matches the Rfam family "Y RNA". Rfam says of the family: Y RNAs are components of the Ro ribonucleoprotein particle (Ro RNP), in association with Ro60 and La proteins. The Y RNAs and Ro60 and La proteins are well conserved, but the function of the Ro RNP is not known. In humans the RNA component can be one of four small RNAs -- hY1, hY3, hY4 and hY5. NCBI's taxonomy places the organism in Eukaryota, Metazoa, Chordata, Mammalia, Primates, Galagidae. The record is from Ensembl.